RNAcentral lists this ribosomal RNA (252 nucleotides) under uncultured bacterium. Its description in RNAcentral is "partial 16S ribosomal RNA". It matches the Rfam family "Bacterial small subunit ribosomal RNA", at positions 524 to 776 of the family's 1533-position model. The record is from RNAcentral.
UACGGAGGAUGCGAGCGUUAUCCGGAUUUAUUGGGUUUAAAGGGUGCGUAGGCGGAGUGCCAAGUCAGCGGUAAAAAUUCGGGGCUCAACCCCGUCGUGCCGUUGAAACUGGCGCCCUUGAGUGGGCGAGAAGUAUGCGGAAUGCGUGGUGUAGCGGUGAAAUGCAUAGAUAUCACGCAGAACCCCGAUUGCGAAGGCAGCAUACCGGCGCCCGACUGACGCUGAAGCACGAAAGCGUGGGGAGCGAACAGG